UCAUUUUAAUUUUGGCAGGUUGCUUCUCUUAAAGAAGGUGUAUCCCUAGAAACCAAACUUCUGAGUAGGUAAGCUAGCUUGUUUGUUAUUUACGUAGGAAGGAAGCUGCUUUGCGACAAAGAGAGGGUGCUCUCAAGGCUGGCAAACAAACACAGGAUGGGAGAGAUGAGGAAAUCACAGCCCUUCGUGUGGAAAUUUAGAAUCUAAAAGAUGAUACAGCAGCAGCAGCUUUUGAACAACAGCAAGAAGCUUCAAUCUUUCCCCU
Molecule: non-coding RNA, 265 nt
Organism: Arachis ipaensis
Lineage: Eukaryota; Viridiplantae; Streptophyta; Magnoliopsida; Fabales; Fabaceae
Source: RefSeq, a predicted model, not a curated record